CCCUUAGAUGUUCUGGGCUGCACGCGCGCUACACUGACGCACGCAACAGGUGCCUGCUCCGAGAGGACUGGGUAAUCAUUUGAGUGUGCGUCGUGAUGGGGAUAGAAUAUUGUAAUUAUUACUCUUCAACGAGGAAUUCCUAGUAAGCGCCAGUCAGCAGCUUGCGCUGAUUACGUCCCUGCCCUUUGUACACACCGCCCGUCGCUCCUACCGAUGGGCGAUCCGGUGAAUGAUUCGGACUUCAGCGGCUCCCCUGGGGUGCGCCGGAGAAAGUUUUGUGAACCUUAUCACUUGGAGGAAGGAGAAGUCGUAACA
RNAcentral lists this ribosomal RNA (315 nucleotides) under uncultured eukaryote. RNAcentral describes it as "partial 18S ribosomal RNA". It matches the Rfam family "Eukaryotic small subunit ribosomal RNA", at positions 1470 to 1796 of the family's 1831-position model. The record is from RNAcentral.